Molecule: ribosomal RNA, 253 nt
Filed under: uncultured bacterium
Lineage: Bacteria
Description: partial 16S ribosomal RNA
Rfam family: Bacterial small subunit ribosomal RNA
Source: RNAcentral
GACGAACCGAGCGAACGCUGUUCGGAAUCACUGGGCUUAAAGGGCGCGUAGGCGGGCUGUCAAGUCUGGGGUGAAAUCCCGCGGCUCAACCGUGGAACUGCCUCAGAUACUGACGGUCUCGAGGGGGAUAGGGGCGAGCGGAACUAAUGGUGGAGCGGUGAAAUGCGUUGAUAUCAUUAGGAACUCCGGUGGCGAAGGCGGCUCGCUGGAUCUCUUCUGACGCUGAGGCGCGAAAGCUAGGGGAGCAAACGGG